AGCAGCCGCGGUAAUUCCAGCUCCAAUAGCGUAUAUUAAAGUUGUUGCAGUUAAAAAGCUCGUAGUUGAAUUUCGGGAUCAAAUUGUUGGUCGUGCCUUGGUACGCACUGGCAUUAUUGGUUCCUACCUUCUGAAGAACCGCCAUUGUCAUUAAUUUGGUGUCGUGGGGAAUCAGGACUGUUACUUUGAAAAAAUUAGAGUGUUUAAAGCAGGCGCACGCUUGAAUACAUUAGCAUGGAAUAAUGAAAUAGGACGUUUGAUUCUAUUUUGUUGGUUUCUAGGAUCGACGUAAUGAUUAAUAGGGAUAGUUGGGGGCAUUAGUAUUCAAUUGUCAGAGGUGAAAUUCUUGGAUUUAUUGAAGACUAACUACUGCGAAAGCAUUUGCCAAGGAUGUUUUCAUUAAUCAAGAACGAAAGUUAGGGGAUCGAAGACGAUCAGAUACCGUCGUAGUCUUAACCAUAAACUAUGCCGACUAGGGAUCGGAUGAUGUUAAUUUUUUAAUGACUCAUUCGGCGCCUUACG
This 522-nucleotide ribosomal RNA is filed under the name uncultured Glomus. RNAcentral describes it as "SSU rRNA". It matches the Rfam family "Eukaryotic small subunit ribosomal RNA", at positions 569 to 1092 of the family's 1831-position model. Lineage: Eukaryota; Fungi; Glomeromycota; Glomeromycetes; Glomerales; Glomeraceae. The record is from RNAcentral.